Punica granatum (pomegranate) is the source of this 952-nucleotide non-coding RNA. NCBI's taxonomy places the organism in Eukaryota, Viridiplantae, Streptophyta, Magnoliopsida, Myrtales, Lythraceae. The record is from RefSeq and is a predicted model, not a curated record.
UAAAAGCAAAUAUGGAUAGGAAUAGCAUUUUUUGAAUCACAUAUCCUCUUUAUUAAUUUCUAUUCCAUUUUACUUUUAGAGAUUUGGACAAUCAGCUUGGUUCUUUCCUGGUUUAACUUUACCGAUUGGUUGCGUUACUCCGUCCCCUCGUACCUUUCAGGAUCUGCUUUGCGACAAAUCGCUUUUAUGGAAGAUCGGCAACGUCUGUUUGAUGAGCUGCCACCAGCAUCUCCUCUUGUCCACUAGAUCCUGAUUCAACUUCAUUUGGUUGCAAUCUCAUUCGGGAAGAUAAUUCUGCUAUCAAUUAGGCCAGAAACGAAAUUCCUAGGGAGACUUCCAGGAAGUGAUAUCUUCUGUGACAUCAGUCAGUACCCUAUGGCCACUGAAACUCCUGGCAUCACCUUAAUCCGAGCCAACCCCGGCCAAAUAUGCUUCGCUAAUGCCAAUUUCAUUAGAGAAAGGAUAAUGAGGCUGGUCAAUGAGGAAGUAGAGGAAAAGGGAAGUGGAAGGGGAAAGAUUCAAGCAGUGAUCCAGUUAAGUUCCGUCCAGUGUGAUGAACAUAGACACUUCUGGGAUCGUUGCCCUCAAAGAACUGCAUAAGUCAUUGAUCUCAUCUGGUGUAAAAGUAGCCUUUGCCAACCUGAGGUGGUGAGUGAUGCACAAGCUAAAGUUGUCAAACUCUGUAGAUAGGGUCGGAAGAGAGAGAUUCUUCCUUGGUGUAGGGGAGGCAGUCGAUGUACAACUCUGCCUGAAACAUGCCGGUCCUGACAGUUGUUGAUGCGAUCAAUGGAUGUUGUUUUGAACUAUCCAUUACCAGCUCAAGGUUUAGCAGAGCUACUUCUAAAUUUAAAGUGUUUUAAGUAUGUCUUUUCUUUCAUGAGCAUGACAAUGGGACAUCAGCGCACUUGGUUUUCAAUUGAAAAACUGUUUGUUCUGUUCGAGCUUUCUGACA